This 129-nucleotide non-coding RNA is filed under the name Ensifer sp. RNAcentral's name for it is "TPP sequence". It matches the Rfam family "TPP riboswitch aptamer (THI element)". From Rfam's summary of the family: Vitamin B(1) in its active form thiamin pyrophosphate (TPP) is an essential coenzyme that is synthesised by coupling of pyrimidine and thiazole moieties in bacteria. The previously detected thiamin-regulatory element, thi box was extended, resulting in a new, highly conserved RNA secondary structure, the THI element, which is widely distributed in eubacteria and also occurs in some archaea. Analysis of operon structures identified a large number of new candidate thiamin-regulated genes, mostly transporters, in various prokaryotic organisms. Lineage: Bacteria; Pseudomonadati; Pseudomonadota; Alphaproteobacteria; Hyphomicrobiales; Rhizobiaceae. The record is from RNAcentral.
GGCAUUCACCAGGGGGGUCCCGCAAGGGGCUGAGAUUCUGCUGGAUGGCCGGCUUACCGGCUGUGGCGCAGUGACCCGUUGAACCUGAUCCAGUUCAUACUGGCGUAGGGACGGUGCAGAUAUCGAAGC